This is an RNA transcript of Arvicanthis niloticus (Nile rat), 1241 nucleotides long. It is a transcript of the gene named MYST/Esa1 associated factor 6, with no coding region annotated. The record is from RefSeq and is a predicted model, not a curated record. NCBI's taxonomy places the organism in Eukaryota, Metazoa, Chordata, Mammalia, Rodentia, Muridae.
CGCCGCCGCUUGAGCCCAACAUGGCGAUGCACAACAAGACGGCGCCGCCGCAGAUCCCAGACACCAGGCGGGAGCUGGCCGAGCUGGUGAAGCGGAAGCAGGAGCUGGCGGAAACACUUGCAAACUUGGAGAGACAGAUCUAUGCUUUUGAAGGAAGCUACUUGGAAGACACUCAGAUGUAUGGCAAUAUUAUCCGUGGCUGGGAUCGAUAUUUGACCAAUCAAAAAAACUCCAAUAGCAAAAACGACCGGAGGAACCGGAAGUUCAAGGAGGCCGAGCGGCUCUUCAGCAAAUCCUCAGUCACGUCGGCCGCUGCAGUAAGUGCCUUGGCAGGGGUUCAGGACCAGCUCAUCGAAAAGAGGGAACCAGGAAGUGGAACGGAAAGUGAUACUUCCCCAGACUUCCACAAUCAGGAAAACGAGCCUGCGCAGGAGGACCCCGAAGACCUGGACGGCUCCGUUCAGGGAGUGAAGCCUCAGAAAGCUGCCUCUUCCGCCUCCUCAGGGAGCCACCACAGCAGCCACAAAAAACGGAAGAAUAAAAACCGGCACAGGUAUGUAUAUUAGGUUAGGCUGGGAAGUUUUUUUUAAAAACAGAAAAACGUGAUGGAGGAUUGAUUUGAAGUUAAACAAAAAGCCCCGAGCUGACUAUUAGAAGACUUGCUAGCAGAAGCUUCCAGGCUGUGAAGCCCUGCUUCCCCUCUGACCUCACAGCGACAAAUGUCCCUCGCCUGACUGUGGCCAUCUGCCUCUGACCCCGAGACCCAGUGCCUGUAACUGGCUAGUCUGUCCUAACUGUAGUGACAAGUCCUCCCUAUAAGACUUUGGGUCGUUCGCUGUUGUCAUCGUUAGAACAGCAGGAAGACCUGUCCUCGGUCCCAGUCCCUGCGGGUGGCUAACUGUGCAUUUCUCCCUUCUUAGAAUGAAUGUCUCCCCCCAAACUGGCUGGCACCAGCUCCAUCUGUGACUCCCCCACCCCCCAUCGAGAAGUGCACACACCUCUGAUUCUGUGUUACGCUCAAAGUAGACCCCAAGGUCCAUUGCAGAUGGAGGCUGUGAAUAUCUGCCAUUCUCUUGUUUUGUUUUGUGUCGUGUUGUUUUUUUAUUGUUGUUUUUACCAUCUGAUUUUCUUUUGGGACAUUUUGUGAUGCCUGUACCUUCCUGAUGACACAUCUGAUCGUCUGUUUCAUGUGCUGUCGAUAUUCAUAACUGAAACUAAAGUGGCUUUUAGAAGGAAAUGGG